This 20-nucleotide small RNA is filed under the name Arabidopsis thaliana (thale cress). RNAcentral describes it as "ATSL228120". The record is from RNAcentral. Lineage: Eukaryota; Viridiplantae; Streptophyta; Magnoliopsida; Brassicales; Brassicaceae.
GGUGAUUUCUUCUUCUUUUU